RNAcentral lists this long non-coding RNA (935 nucleotides) under Phascolarctos cinereus (koala). RNAcentral describes it as "lncRNA (ENSPCIG00000033580.1)". Lineage: Eukaryota; Metazoa; Chordata; Mammalia; Diprotodontia; Phascolarctidae. The record is from RNAcentral.
AUGAAAGUUUCAAAAUGGAAGUUAGGAAUUCUUUGUUUUAUAAGUGGAUGUGUAAUGUCUGGUCAGGUGGAUGCUUGUAUUCCUGAUAGAGUUCCAAUGGGACUCUUAAUCACAGAUUGCCCUUAUCCACAACUGAAAACUCUUGAGAUGCAGAGGACUCUUGCCCUAAAAAUCAUUCUUUCCUUUUCUUUUUUUCUACCCACAGAAGCCCCAAGACAGCAACCUGCUGAACCUGAACCAGCCCCAAGGCAACAAACUAGGAAAAGUAAAGGAGAACCAGGUCCACCACCUGAAGGAGAACCAGGCGAACCACCUGAAGGAGAACCAGGUCCACCACCUGAAGGCUCUUCACUUCUUCUAAGGGAGGAGCCAUCUCAGACCUAGCCACAAGCCUACUCACACCAAUAUCUUCAAGGAGAGAAGAAGAAGAAGAAAUAGGUAUUUGGAAAGAUUUCUAUUCUUUAGAUGUGCUGAGAUCAGCUGAACAUAACAAUAUCUAAUUUUUCCACCCAUUUUAUAUUUGGGUCCCUUCAUUUCUCUUCUAUCUUCUACUUACACUUAUGAAAGCUUAAAUGUAUGGAUGAUUUUGUGAUGAAUAUGAACUCUGGCCAAGUGGAUACUUGCAUUCUUCAAGUAAUUCCACUGGUCCUUCAUCAAUAUUACUUUAUCCACAUCUGAAACCUCUUGAGAUUCAUAGGACUCUUGCCUAAACAUUACUCAUUUUUUAUUUUUUCUACCCAGGAGAACCCAGGCGAACCACCUGAAGGUAAGUAAUAUGUCAUCUCUAAACACUCCUUUCUUUCCCCUUUUCUUGAGGACCCUAGACCUUGUCCUCAUUUUAAACCAUUUGGCACUCCACUCUUAAAGUUCAGUACCAAGAAGAGAGGGUAAUAAUGAACUAACAGGGUGGUCAGCUUAAAAGGCUUGUUUUCUCU